AGCGAACGCUGGCGGCAGGCUUAACACAUGCAAGUCGAACGGGCUUCUUCGGAAGUCAGUGGCAGACGGGUGAGUAACACGUGGGAACGUGCCCUUCGGUUCGGAAUAACUCAGGGAAACUUGAGCUAAUACCGGAUACGCCCUUAUGGGGAAAGGUUUACUGCCGAAGGAUCGGCCCGCGUCUGAUUAGCUUGUUGGUGAGGUAACGGCCUACCAAGGCGACGAUCAGUAGCUGGUCUGAGAGGAUGAUCAGCCACACUGGGACUGAGACACGGCCCAGACUCCUACGGGAGGCAGCAGUGGGGAAUAUUGGACAAUGGGCGCAAGCCUGAUCCAGCCAUGCCGCGUGAGUGAUGAAGGCCUUAGGGUUGUAAAGCUCUUUUGUCCGGGACGAUAAUGACGGUACCGGAAGAAUAAGCCCCGGCUAACUUCGUG
RNAcentral lists this ribosomal RNA (435 nucleotides) under uncultured bacterium. RNAcentral describes it as "partial 16S ribosomal RNA". It matches the Rfam family "Bacterial small subunit ribosomal RNA", at positions 29 to 507 of the family's 1533-position model. The record is from RNAcentral.